UACGUAGGGUCCGAGCGUUGUCCGGAAUUAUUGGGCGUAAAGGGCUCGUAGGCGGUUUGUCGCGUCGGGAGUGAAAACACGGGGCUUAACUUCGUGCUGGCUUUCGAUACGGGCAGACUGGAGGUAUGCAGGGGAGAACGGAAUUCCUGGUGUAGCGGUGAAAUGCGCAGAUAUCAGGAGGAACACCGGUGGCGAAGGCGGUUCUCUGGGCAUUACCUGACGCUGAGGAGCGAAAGUGUGGGGAGCGAACAGG
This 253-nucleotide unclassified non-coding RNA is filed under the name uncultured Nocardioidaceae bacterium. RNAcentral's name for it is "contains 16S-23S intergenic spacer region". It matches the Rfam family "Bacterial small subunit ribosomal RNA", at positions 524 to 776 of the family's 1533-position model. Lineage: Bacteria; Bacillati; Actinomycetota; Actinomycetes; Propionibacteriales; Nocardioidaceae. The record is from RNAcentral.